GGAUUGAACGCUAGCGGGAUGCUUUACACAUGCAAGUCGAACGGCAGCGCGGACUUCGGUCUGGCGGCGAGUGGCGAACGGGUGAGUAAUAUAUCGGAACGUGCCCAGUAGCGGGGGAUAACUACGCGAAAGCGUGGCUAAUACCGCAUACGCCCGUGGCGGGGGAAAGGGGGGGAUUCUUCGGAACCUCUCACUAUUGGAGCGGCCGAUAUCAGAUUAGCUAGUUGGUGAGGUAAGGCUCACCAAGGCGACGAUCUGUAGCUGGUUUGAGAGGACGACCAGCCACACGUGGG
RNAcentral lists this ribosomal RNA (293 nucleotides) under uncultured soil bacterium. RNAcentral describes it as "partial 16S ribosomal RNA". It matches the Rfam family "Bacterial small subunit ribosomal RNA", at positions 27 to 318 of the family's 1533-position model. The record is from RNAcentral.